UACGUAGGUCCCGAGCGUUGUCCGGAUUUAUUGGGCGUAAAGCGAGCGCAGGUGGUUUAUUAAGUCUGGUGUAAAAGGCAGUGGCUCAACCAUUGUGUGCAUUGGAAACUGUUAGACUUGAGUGCAGUAGAGGAGAGUGGAAUUCCAUGUGUAGCGGUGAAAUGCGUAGAUAUAUGGAGGAACACCAGUGGCGAAGGCGACUGUCUGGUCUGUAACUGACACUGAGGCGCGAAAGCGUGGGGAGCAAACAGG
Molecule: ribosomal RNA, 252 nt
Filed under: uncultured microorganism
Description: partial 16S ribosomal RNA
Rfam family: Bacterial small subunit ribosomal RNA
Source: RNAcentral